ACACUCCUGCGGGAGGCAGCAGUGGGGAAUUUUGGACAAUGGGCGAAAGCCUGAUCCAGCAAUGCCGCGUGAGUGAAGAAGGCCUUCGGGUUGUAAAGCUCUUUUGUCAGGGAAGAAACGGUGAGAGCUAAUAUCUUUUGCUAAUGACGGUACCUGAAGAAUAAGCACCGGCUAACUACGUGCCAGCAGCCGCGGUAAUACGUAGGGUGCAAGCGUUAAUCGGAAUUACUGGGCGUAAAGCGUGCGCAGGCGGUUUUGUAAGUCUGAUGUGAAAUCCCCGGGCUCAACCUGGGAAUUGCAUUGGAGACUGCAAGGCUAGAAUCUGGCAGAGGGGGGUAGAAUUCCACGUGUAGCAGUGAAAUGCGUAGAUAUGUGGAGGAACACCGAUGGCGAAGGCAGCCCCCUGGGUCAAGAUUGACGCUCAUGCACGAAAGCGUGGGGAGCAAACAGGAUUAGAUACCCGAGUAGUCCCAUGAU
RNAcentral lists this ribosomal RNA (477 nucleotides) under uncultured organism. RNAcentral describes it as "partial 16S ribosomal RNA". It matches the Rfam family "Bacterial small subunit ribosomal RNA", at positions 333 to 801 of the family's 1533-position model. The record is from RNAcentral.